This 818-nucleotide ribosomal RNA is filed under the name uncultured bacterium. RNAcentral's name for it is "bacterial SSU rRNA". It matches the Rfam family "Bacterial small subunit ribosomal RNA", at positions 26 to 817 of the family's 1533-position model. The record is from RNAcentral.
AGAAUGAACGCUGAUGGCGUGCCUAACACAUGCAAGUCGUACGAGAAAUCCCGCCUUCGGGUGGGAGAGUAGAGUGGCGCACGGGUGAGUAACGCGUAGGUAAUCUACCCUUGGGUCUGGAAUAACUCGCCGAAAGGCGAGCUAAUACCGGAUAAUAUCCUUCGGAGAAAUCUGAAGGAUCAAAGGUGGCCUCUCCUUGGAAGCUAUUGCUUGAGGAUGAGCCUGCGUCCCAUUAGUUUGUUGGUAGGGUAAUGGCCUACCAAGGCUACGAUGGGUAGCUGGUCUGAGAGGAUGAUCAGUCACACUGGAACUGGAACACGGUCCAGACUCCUACGGGAGGCAGCAGUGAGGAAUAUUGCGCAAUGGGGGAAACCCUGACGCAGCGACGCCAUGUGGGUGAAGAAGGCCUUCGGGUCGUAAAGCCCUGUUUAGAGGGGAGAAAUGCUCGAUGGAAUAAUACCUGUCGAGUUUGACGGUACCUUUAGAGGAAGUACCGGCUAACUCCGUGCCAGCAGCCGCGGUAAUACGGAGGGUGCGAGCGUUGUUCGGAAUUACUGGGCGUAAAGCGGGUGCAGGCGGUUUGUCAAGUCAGAUGUGAAAGCCCACGGCUCAACCGUGGAAGUGCAUCUGAAACUGGCAGACUUGAGUACCGGAGAGGGAAGUGGAAUUCCUGGUGUAGGGGUGAAAUCCGUAGAUAUCAGGAGGAACACCGGUGGCGAAGGCGACUUCCUGGACGGAUACUGACGCUGAGAUCCGAAAGCGUGGGGAGCAAACAGGAUUAGAUACCCUGGUAGUCCACGCCCUAAACGAUGGGCACU